RNAcentral lists this small RNA (345 nucleotides) under Pongo abelii (Sumatran orangutan). RNAcentral describes it as "retained intron". The record is from RNAcentral. Lineage: Eukaryota; Metazoa; Chordata; Mammalia; Primates; Hominidae.
AAGAACCACCAGCUGAAAGUCGGGAUAGUACACCUGGUCAGAAGACAGAAGAAGAUCAGGGUGCAGCUGAGAUUCAAGGUGGUGGGAAGGGAAAGAAAGAAUGUCUAUGGGGGGAGGAGGCCUAUGUGUGCAUCAUGCCUUAUGCCAUGACCAGUAAGAGGAGGAAACAAAACACUAGGAAAGGAUCUCAAACAUUUGCUGAGUGUUGGCUGGAAACGUGACGGGUAUAGUUUGCAGCUUCCUGCAGUCCCUGGAUAUGAUUAAUCUUCUCUUUUUCAUCGAGAUGCAUUUUGCAGGCUUGAAAAUACAGUCCUUCCUAAAUCAGAUGAAACCAUUUAAUUGGUU